AUUGAACGCUGGCGGCAGGCCUAACACAUGCAAGUCGAACGAGUGGCGGACGGGUGAGUAAUGUCUGGGAAACUGCCCGAUGGAGGGGGAUAACUACUGGAAACGGUAGCUAAUACCGCAUACCAUCGGAGGUGCCCAGAUGGGAUUAGCUAGUAGGGGGGGAAAAGGCUCACCUAGGCGCAGAUCCCUAGCUGGUCUGAGAGGAUGACCAGCCACACUGGAACUGAGACACGGUCCAGACUCCUACGGGAGGCAGCAGUGGUGAAUAUUGCACAAUGGGCACAAGCCUGAUGCAGCCAUGCCGCGUGUAUGAAGAAGGCCUUCGGGUUGUAAAGUACUUUCAGCGGGGAGGCGUUACCCGCAGAAGAAGCACCGGCUAACUCCGUGCCAGCAGCCGCGGUAAUUC
This 406-nucleotide ribosomal RNA is filed under the name uncultured bacterium. RNAcentral describes it as "partial 16S ribosomal RNA". It matches the Rfam family "Bacterial small subunit ribosomal RNA", at positions 30 to 526 of the family's 1533-position model. The record is from RNAcentral.